GACGAACGCUGGCGGCGUGCUUAACACAUGCAAGUCGAACGGAAAGGCCCUGCUUUUGUGGGGUGCUCGAGUGGCGAACGGGUGAGUAACACGUGAGUAACCUGCCCUUGACUUUGGGAUAACUUCAGGAAACUGGGGCUAAUACCGGAUAGGAGCUCCUGCUGCAUGGUGGGGGUUGGAAAGUUUCGGCGGUUGGGGAUGGACUCGCGGCUUAUCAGCUUGUUGGUGGGGUAGUGGCUUACCAAGGCUUUGACGGGUAGCCGGCCGGUGAGGGUGACCGGCCACAUUGGGACUGAGGUACGGCCCAGACUCCUACGGGAGGCAGCAGUGGGGAAUAUUGCACAAUGGGCGGAAGCCUGAUGCAGCAACGCCGCGUGCGGGAUGACGGCCUUCGGGUUGUAAACCGCUUUCGCCUGUGACGAAGCGUGAGUGACGGUAAUGGGUAAAGAAGCACCGGCUAACUACGUG
This 468-nucleotide ribosomal RNA is filed under the name uncultured bacterium. Its description in RNAcentral is "partial 16S ribosomal RNA". It matches the Rfam family "Bacterial small subunit ribosomal RNA", at positions 28 to 507 of the family's 1533-position model. The record is from RNAcentral.